GAGCUCCAGUUUUCCCUGCAUGUUUAUCAUAUACACAUUGCUUGUCUUCUUUUACUGAUUCGGUAUGGUCUUCAAAUCCCUGUUCCAUGCGUAAUAUCCAGUAGUUAGUUCUGUUUUAAUGCAAUUAGAAUAAGAAAAAAAUGGAAUACUACUGACGGAGCAUUUCAUGAUUUUUUUUUUUCUCAAAAACAUCUAAUAUAUACAAGGGAGGUACAACCGAGUAGAUAAUCAUCUACAGCCUCGGCAACAAAACCAUGACUAAAUUGAUACUCUCAAGAAGCUUCAGCACAAUAACCAUGGGAGUUAAGGAGUUAGGGGAUAUCAGGUUUUAUUUUUAAUUCAAAUCCAAAGCAAUUAUUACGAGCUGCUUUUUUAAUUUAUCUAUUCAACCCAAUUUUGGUCAUUACAGGAUUUUUUCUUGUUUUUUUUUUUUUUUUUUUUUUUUUUUUUUUUUUUUUUUUUUUUUUUUUUUUUUAUACUUGUCUAAUAUUACCAGGUGUGUCUACAUUUAACCAUAUUUAUUAAACAAUUAUUUUUAUAUACAUUCGGGUAAAAUGAUAGCAACAGAAGAAUAAUAUACAUAUUACAUGAUUACCUCAGAAUAAAAAAAAGUAUUUAAAUAUAAAUUUAAAAUUUAAAAAGAUGAUAAUUUAUUUCUACUAUGAUAUUCUACAUGGAACCAACUUAAUCUAAAUAUUUAAAUAAACUUCAUAAAACUGCAAGAUUAUUAUCCAAUUGGGGAUCGGGAAUAACUAUUCUUCACCAGACACUGUUGUUUUGAAUUUCAUUGUAAAUAAAAUACGAGAGAUGGAUUGAUCUCAUCUUUCUCAUUGGCCCAGAACGAGAUGCAGUUGCAGCACAGGGAUAAACUAUGGAUUCAUACUUCGCACGUUCUGCGAAAACGAACAAAAUUCACAAAUAGUCCACAACAUCAGCCGAUAAUACAAUGUAAAAACUCUACCCAAAGUUUUCUAUGUACAAAAGAUAU
RNAcentral lists this long non-coding RNA (988 nucleotides) under Vigna radiata. RNAcentral describes it as "long non-coding RNA (VRAD_LNC014009)". Lineage: Eukaryota; Viridiplantae; Streptophyta; Magnoliopsida; Fabales; Fabaceae. The record is from RNAcentral.